RNAcentral lists this ribosomal RNA (288 nucleotides) under uncultured Duganella sp. RNAcentral describes it as "partial 16S ribosomal RNA". It matches the Rfam family "Bacterial small subunit ribosomal RNA", at positions 588 to 876 of the family's 1533-position model. Lineage: Bacteria; Pseudomonadati; Pseudomonadota; Betaproteobacteria; Burkholderiales; Oxalobacteraceae. The record is from RNAcentral.
ACUGUCGUGAAAUCCCCGGGCUCAACCUGGGAAUGGCGAUGGUGACUGCAAGGCUAGAGUUUGGCAGAGGGGGGUAGAAUUCCACGUGUAGCAGUGAAAUGCGUAGAUAUGUGGAGGAACACCGAUGGCGAAGGCAGCCCCCUGGGUCAAAACUGACGCUCAUGCACGAAAGCGUGGGGAGCAAACAGGAUUAGAUACCCUGGUAGUCCACGCCCUAAACGAUGUCUACUAGUUGUCGGGUUUUAAUUAACUUGGUAACGCAGCUAACGCGUGAAGUAGACCGCCUGG